GUCGUCAUAUCAGGGCUUGUUUCUGAUUGGCCAGUCGAGGAGCUGAGAAACUGUAUAAAAGAGAAGGCAGGACAGCAGAGGAGUACGACUACGAGCGUGAAUACACCGAAUUAUCUGCUUCUGAAGCCAGAAAUCAGGACCAUCAUGAAGAUCGUGUUCGUGUUCAUCGCUGUGUGCUUUAUUGCGCUCUCCUGUGCUGUUCCUGUAAGACCAUCAUGAAGAUCGUGCUCGUGUUCAUCGCUGUGUGCUUUAUUGCGCUCUCCUGUGCUGUUCCUGUGGAGGAUGAGCACGAACGAGAGAAGCGCUCGUCCAGUGGUGAGUCCUACCGAGGAGGACAGUUCCAGCCACCAAUCUUUCCAUACUUCCCCAACGUCAACAACAACGACAACAACGCCUGGAUGAACAUCAUCCUGCCCCUGCUGUUAGCACGCCUCUUCCCUGCCCCCGCUCCUGCCCCCGCCCCUGCAACAGGAAAAUAAGACCAGCGUGUAAUGAUCAUGUUCUGUGUGAUUGUUGGCAGUUCCUUGAAAUAAAGACACGUCCUUGAGCAUA
Ictalurus punctatus (channel catfish) is the source of this 552-nucleotide long non-coding RNA. The record is from Ensembl. NCBI's taxonomy places the organism in Eukaryota, Metazoa, Chordata, Actinopteri, Siluriformes, Ictaluridae.